This 2068-nucleotide long non-coding RNA is filed under the name Heterocephalus glaber (naked mole-rat). RNAcentral's name for it is "lncRNA (ENSHGLG00100046646.1)". The record is from RNAcentral. Lineage: Eukaryota; Metazoa; Chordata; Mammalia; Rodentia; Bathyergidae.
GCACAAUAAUGGCCCUGUUUUGUAGCUGGCUGUGUUUCUCCAAAAUGUAUUUAUAUUGCUGCCUUUUCAAAAGAAGUUGGCUAAUAUUAUUGGAUUUCCAUUUUCUGCCAUGACAUAUGAAAAUUUGAUGAGGUCUGUGAAAUUUAAGACUUGUUUCCUUAAGUGUGAUAGAACCUUAGUUAAUAUAGCUUUAGACUUCAGUCGCACAAAUCUGUGAUUACCUUUAAACUUUUUCCUUAUUGUUGGGGAGGGUGGAGAAAAGGGGGAGGCAGGAAGUGUGUAUAUGUAGCCAGGAGACAGGAAUGAGCAGAAAGACAGGGACAAAGUACAAACCUCACACGGCACCAGGCAGCUAUGUAUCUCCAAGCAGCCCAGGAUGAGAUUGAACAUCAAGUGACCCUGGAAGAACUACAAAAUUUAAACGCACUAUUUCAGAAACAAAUGGUGAAUGCAUCAGAGAAAUGAACAAAAGAUAUGUUAGAAGUUGACAGAGUUUAGGAGCAUGAAAAGAGAGGAACACGACUGCUGGAUAUGGAAACAUUCAAAAGCAUAAUGAAGCAGAGUAUGAGGUCCCAGAAUAAAAGUACUCGUUGACCCUCAGUACUUCUGUCAACUUGAAGCUGAAUGAAGAGAACGUGCUUGUUUGCAAUUUUCAAAUUUAUGUAAUGGUAACCCAUAGUUGGAGUAGUUUAACUAGGUAUUUCAGUAACUAAGGCAAGUUACAUGAAAGAAAUUCUUAAACCAAGAAUGGAGGGCCACAUCCACCACUUUACUGAAAAGCCAGGAAAGUACUGCAGGCAAUGAUACAUGGUGAUAAUGAAAUCAGUGAACACAUGUAAAGUGUUUAGAACUGGGGUUGUCACACAAUAAAUUCUCAGCAAGUAUUAUUAUGAUUCCUGUUAAUAUUAUCCAAUUUUGGUUAUGUAAUAACAAAGAGCUGAGAUACCUGUUUUUUUGAUUCUUGGCCAUCAUGUCUGUCAGUGUCCUUCCAUUGUUCUGGGAUGAAUUAAGUUCAAAAGUGACAAAUUGAGCAGUAAGUCAUCUGUAUUCAGGCCUUUGGCCAAUUCUACAGUGCCCUCACUGUCAUAUGAUUUGAAAAGGAAUAUUCAAGAUUCCAGGGCAGAGAAGGGAAGCUUCUAGUGAAAGAGGAUUUUGGAAGAGGUGGACAGAAAAUGAAGAUUUCCCAGGUCCAAAGAGACUCCACCCUUUCUAUUUUUGAUCACAAAGUUCCUUCCCAUUAGUAUACUGCUAAGAUUCAAAAAAAGGCAUAUGCCCUGCUGUGUGGGAACUUCAGAAUCAGAUCAAUGACAACACAAGUCUCUGGCUGGCCAUUGGCUAGUUGUUCCAUCUUAGGCAAGCCAUUUAACUUCUCUUCAAGCUUGAGUUUCCCAGUUCAUAAAAUGGGGUGAGCGAUGGACCUUAACCCCUUUAGGAAUGAUGAGAAUUGAAGUGAAGACCCACACUACAUGGAACAUGGUACACUCUAACAGUCAUUAUCAUCACCGCCAUUGUCAUCAUCAUCAUCAUCAUCAUCAUCAUCAUCAUCAUCAUCAACAACAACAACAACAACACCAUUAAAGAAAAAGGGAAAGCAGAAGAAGUAAGCUGGCAGCUGGGAAACAGACUUCAGGCCCAGCUGAGCAUGCUUACCACAGUUAUUACACGGUGGCUUCUGGACGUAUCUACAGCUAGAGUAUUUGAAGCAGGCCAAGGCUUUGGCCUGACAGAAAGAGGUGUCCUUCCUGCUGCCUGCUGUAGUGCCACAGAGGCUGUCACAUGGGGGUCUUGUGCUGCGCAUUCUCUCUGUGCCUGAUGACACCUUAAUCAUGAUCAGAGAAGAUGGAGCUAUUUAUUUCUGGUCCCUGCAGCUGAAGCUGAAAAGAAAAAAGUGGAUUUUUGUAUGUGAUUUUCAUUUGAUAAGGAUGCUGAGUGCUACAGUUUGAUUUUAUUUGCUAUUUUAAACUGCUCCUUAAGUGGCAUGAUUACAUAAAUUGUGCCCUUGAAUAUAAUAUAUUCAUGUUGCAUUUUGUUAGGCUACGGAAUGCAAAUAAAAUAGAGCACUACAUGU